CCUUUAUACUGUGAAACUGCGAAUGGCUCAUUAAAUCAGUUAUCGUUUAUUUGAUAGUACCUUACUACAUGGAUACCUGUGGUAAUUCUAGAGCUAAUACAUGCUAAAAACCCCGACUUCAGGAAGGGGUGUAUUUAUUAGAUAAAAAACCAACGCCCUUCGGGGCUCCUUGGUGAAUCAUAAUAACUUAACGAAUCGCAUGGCCUUGCGCCGGCGAUGGUUCAUUCAAAUUUCUGCCCUAUCAACUUUCGAUGGUAGGAUAGUGGCCUACCAUGGUGGCAACGGGUAACGGGGAAUUAGGGUUCGAUUCCGGAGAGGGAGCCUGAGAAACGGCUACCACAUCCAAGGAAGGCAGCAGGCGCGCAAAUUACCCAAUCCCGAUACGGGGAGGUAGUGACAAUAAAUACUGAUACGGGGCUCUUUCGGGUCUCGUAAUUGGAAUGAGAACAAUUUAAAUCCCUUAACGAGGAACAAUUGGAGGGCAAGUCUGGUGCCAGCAGCCGCGGUAAUUCCAGCUCCAAUAGCGUAUAUUAAAGUUGUUGCAGUUAAAAAGCUCGUAGUUGAACCUUGGGUCUGGCUGGCCGGUCCGCCUCACCGCGAGUACUGGUCCGGCUGGACCUUUCCUUCUGGGGAACCUCAUGGCCUUCACUGGCUGUGGGGGGAACCAGGACUUUUACUGUGAAAAAAUUAGAGUGUUCAAAGCAGGCCUUUGCUCGAAUACAUUAGCAUGGAAUAAUAGAAUAGGACGUGCGGUUCUAUUUUGUUGGUUUCUAGGACCGCCGUAAUGAUUAAUAGGGAUAGUCGGGGGCGUCAGUAUUCCGCUGUCAGAGGUGAAAUUCUUGGAUUUGCGGAAGACUAACUACUGCGAAAGCAUUCGCCAAGGAUGUUUUCAUUAAUCAGGGAACGAAAGUUAGGGGAUCGAAGACGAUCAGAUACCGUCGUAGUCUUAACCAUAAACUAUGCCGACUAGGGAUCGGACGGGAUUCUAUGAUGACCCGUUCGGCACCUUCGAGAAAUCAAAGUUUUUGGGUUCUGGGGGGAGUAUGGUCGCAAGGCUGAAACUUAAAGAAAUUGAACGGAAGGGCACCACAAGGCGUGGAGCCUGGCGGCUUAAUUUGACUCAACACGGGGAAACUCACCAGGUCCAGACAAAAUAAGGAUUGACAGAUUGAGAGCUCUUUCUUGAUCUUUUGGAUGGUGGUGCAUGGCCGUUCUUAGUUGGUGGAGUGAUUUGUCUGCUUAAUUGCGAUAACGAACGAGACCUCGGCCCUUAAAUAGCCCGGUCCGCAUUUGCGGGCCGCUGGCUUCUUAGGGGGACUAUCGGCUCAAGCCGAUGGAAGUGCGGCGGCAAUUAACAGGUCUGUGAUGCCCUUAGAUGUUCUGGGCCGCACGCGCGCUACACUGACAGGGCCAGCGAGUACAUCACCUUGGCCGAGAGGUCUGGGUUAAUCUUGUUAAACCCUGUUCGUGCUGGGGAUAGAGCAUUGCAAUUAUUGCUCUUCAACGAGGAAGCCUAGUAGGC
RNAcentral lists this ribosomal RNA (1522 nucleotides) under Penicillium sp. MF518. Its description in RNAcentral is "SSU rRNA". It matches the Rfam family "Eukaryotic small subunit ribosomal RNA", at positions 71 to 1622 of the family's 1831-position model. Lineage: Eukaryota; Fungi; Ascomycota; Eurotiomycetes; Eurotiales; Aspergillaceae. The record is from RNAcentral.